Molecule: ribosomal RNA, 437 nt
Filed under: uncultured bacterium
Lineage: Bacteria
Description: bacterial SSU rRNA
Rfam family: Bacterial small subunit ribosomal RNA
Source: RNAcentral
GCUUAACGCGAAGAACCUUACCUGGGCUUGAAAGUUAGUGACCGCUCCUGAAAGGGAGCUUCCCGCAAGGGCACGAAACUAGGUGCUGCAUGGCUGUCGUCAGCUCGUGCCGUGAGGUGUCGGAUUAAGUUCCAUAACGAGCGCAACCCCUAUCUUUAGUUGCCAGCGGGUAAUGCCGGGGACUCUAAAGAAACUGCCCGUGACAAGCGGGAGGAAGGUGGGGAUGACGUCAAAUCAUCAUGCCCUUUAUGAUCUGGGCUACACACGUGCUACAAUGGAUGGUACAAAGAGAAGCAAGCCCGCGAGGUGGAGCGAAUCUCAAAAAGCCAUUCUCAGUUCGGAUUGGAGUCUGCAACUCGACUCCAUGAAGUCGGAAUCGCUAGUAAUUGCGAAUCAGCACGUCGCAGUGAAUGCGUUCCCGGGUCUUGUACACACCG